RNAcentral lists this ribosomal RNA (507 nucleotides) under uncultured bacterium. Its description in RNAcentral is "partial 16S ribosomal RNA". The stretch from base 16 to 370 matches the Rfam family "Bacterial small subunit ribosomal RNA", at positions 43 to 396 of the family's 1533-position model. The record is from RNAcentral.
GACGAACGCUGGCGGCGUGCUUAACACAUGCAAGUCGAACGGAAAGGCCCUGCUUUUGUGGGGUGCUCGAGUGGCGAACGGGUGAGUAACACGUGAGUAACCUGCCCUUGACUUUGGGAUAACUUCAGGAAACUGGGGCUAAUACCGGAUAGGAGCUCCUGCUGCAUGGUGGGGGUUGGAAAGUUUCGGCGGUUGGGGAUGGACUCGCGGCUUAUCAGCUUGUUGGUGGGGUAGUGGCUUACCAAGGCUUUGACGGGUAGCCGGCCUGAGAGGGUGACCGGCACAGGUGGGACUGACACGCGGGCAGGGUGGGGAGGGGGGGCAGAAGGUGGGAAUGUGGCGCAAGGGGGGGAGACGGCAGGCAGCAGCGGGGGGGGCGGGUUGAGGGCUUGCGGGUGGUCACCCGGUGGCGCGGGGGGCGAAGGGGGGUGGAGGGUAGUGGAGAAAGAGGCACGGGCUAAGUCCGUGCGAGCGUCGGCGUGAGAAGCGAGGAGCACUCGUUUCAUC